RNAcentral lists this transfer RNA (71 nucleotides) under Chloroflexota bacterium. RNAcentral's name for it is "Chloroflexi bacterium tRNA-Gly". It matches the Rfam family "tRNA". Rfam says of the family: Transfer RNA (tRNA) molecules are approximately 80 nucleotides in length. Lineage: Bacteria; Bacillati; Chloroflexota. The record is from RNAcentral.
GCGGGCAUGGUGUAGCGGUAACACAGCAGCUUCCCAAGCUGUUAACACGGGUUCGAUUCCCGUUGCCCGCU